RNAcentral lists this ribosomal RNA (429 nucleotides) under Actinomycetes bacterium. RNAcentral's name for it is "Actinobacteria bacterium partial 16S ribosomal RNA". It matches the Rfam family "Bacterial small subunit ribosomal RNA", at positions 355 to 776 of the family's 1533-position model. Lineage: Bacteria; Bacillati; Actinomycetota; Actinomycetes. The record is from RNAcentral.
UAGGGAAUCUUCCGCAAUGGGCGAAAGCCUGACGGAGCAACGCCGCGUGAGUGAUGAAGGUCUUCGGAUCGUAAAACUCUGUUAUUAGGGAAGAACAAAUGUGUAAGUAACUAUGCACGUCUUGACGGUACCUAAUCAGAAAGCCACGGCUAACUACGUGCCAGCAGCCGCGGUAAUACGUAGGUGGCAAGCGUUAUCCGGAAUUAUUGGGCGUAAAGCGCGCGUAGGCGGUUUUUUAAGUCUGAUGUGAAAGCCCACGGCUCAACCAUGGAGGGUCAUUGGAAACUGGAAAACUUGAGUGCAGAAGAGGAAAGUGGAAUUCCAUGUGUAGCAGUGAAAUGCGCAGAGAUAUGGAGGAACACCAGUGGCGAAGGCGACUUUCUGGUCUGUAACUGACGCUGAUGUGCGAAAGCGUGGGGAUCAAACAGG